GACUAAACCAGGUCUAAACCAGGUCUAAACCAGGACUAAACCAGGUCUAAACCAGACUAAACCAGGACUAAACCAGACUAAACCAGGACUAAACCAGGACUAAACCAGGUCUAAACCAGGUCUAAACCAGGACUAAACCAGGUCUAAACCAGACUAAACCAGGACUAAACCAGGACUAAACCAGGUCUAAACCAGACUAAACCAGGACUAAACCAGACUAAACCAGACUAAACCAGGACUAAACCAGGACUAAACCAGACUAAACCAGGACUAAACCAGGUCUAAACCAGGACUAAACCAGGACUAAACCAGGACUAAACCAGGUCUAAACCAGGACUAAACCAGGUCUAAACCAGGACUAAACCAGGUCUAAACCAGGACUAAACCAGGUCUAAACCAGGACUAAACCAGACUAAACCAGACUAAACCAGGACUAACAGAUCUUUAAAAGCACUAACUUUUGUUCUUGUUGCCGUGACAAUCGUCUGUAAAGUUUUUAUUAAAAUUCUUUAUUGUGA
Long non-coding RNA from Boleophthalmus pectinirostris (great blue-spotted mudskipper), 518 nucleotides. RefSeq lists it as uncharacterized. Lineage: Eukaryota; Metazoa; Chordata; Actinopteri; Gobiiformes; Gobiidae. The transcript has 2 exons. The record is from RefSeq and is a predicted model, not a curated record.